AGCCUGUCUCAGUUNGGAUUGAAGUCUNCAACUCGACUUCAUGAAGCUGGNAUCGCUAGUAAUCGCAGAUCAGAACGCUGCGGUGAAUACGUUCCCGGGUCUUGUACACACCCCCCGUCACAUCACGAAAGUGGAUUGUACUAGAAGUAGCUGGGCUAACCCNCAAGGGGGNCAAGUUACUACGGUAUGAUUNCAUGAUUGGGGUGAAGUCGUAACAAGGUUACC
Molecule: ribosomal RNA, 225 nt
Filed under: unidentified soil organism R6-35
Description: partial 16S ribosomal RNA
Rfam family: Bacterial small subunit ribosomal RNA
Source: RNAcentral